Molecule: long non-coding RNA, 2250 nt
Filed under: Gallus gallus (chicken)
Lineage: Eukaryota; Metazoa; Chordata; Aves; Galliformes; Phasianidae
Description: long non-coding RNA NONGGAT009397
Source: RNAcentral
GUAUAUAUAUAUACAUCUAUACGUAUAUAGAUAUAUAUAUGCAAUACUAAGAAGUCGUGUGCCUUAAAAAGAAUAGAUAAUUAUAGAGGGUAUAGCACAAUAUAACAUAUUCAAAGCUCAGUCAUGCGUCGUAUACUGAGCAAGUGAUGUAUUGAAUGUCCACUUACUUUUUCUAACGUCUUUAUUUUUCUACUGGAAUUGCCUGUAUCUCUCAAGAGUGCCCUAUAUAUACUAUGAAUUCAGAAGAAAGGUUUCAGGUUAGCGAAGGGUCGGAUCUCUCUGAGUCAGGGAAUACAAAUAGAUACCAUGACAAACAGGAACAAAGUUCCUUUGCACGGCACGUGUCGUGGAAGCUGGGCAUGUUGUGUAGCACUGUAUCAGGAAGGGAGGUUCUCUAUAGAGAUGCAGAUUGUGCAGACUGUGGUUUCAAACACGGGUUCUUGAGCUGAGGAGAGUCACUGCUGGACCUGAGAUGUGGUGUGUGUGAUGGCACUGCCAUCCCUUCUGCUGGUGGUGACACCUGGCACCAUUGCUGGCAGAGACUCCUGAAACAGCAAUCCUAAAAAAAUGAAAUGGCUUGUGGUUUUCGUGACAGUUAUCUGAGUAAUCCUUGAACAGAGGUCUGUUAUUGAACUUUGGAUGCUUUUGCUUUGGAAAUCGAGGCUAAUUACAGUUUUGUUGCUGUCAUUUUGUGAUUGUUUGGUUUUAAUGAGGGUAUCACUGGAGAAGUGAAAACGUUGCAAUGUGAAAGUUCUCACCAAAGAAUACUGUUUAGCAGGACGUUCAAAGCUCCCUUUUCUACUCUUUGCUUUGGAGAAUGAAGGAGCCAUGCUCAAAAGAGCAUAGGAGCUGCCACUUGAGCUCAGAGUUGCAAUGUGUUCGUGCUUCUGUGUCUUCUCAUUCCCGAGAGCACCCGUUACAUUAGGCUCAGAGGAAGAUGUAAGGAGCUCCAGUUAGUGGGAUUACAGGGCCGGAUGUGGCCAGCUAACCUGCUGCACCGUUAGCUCUCACCCCAAGCAAUCAGAGACCCGAGGUCCCUCACAGCUGCAUGGCAUGGAGGUUAGAUCAGUGACGAGUACUUAGAAAAAACAAGUUGUAGCAUUUCUGUGAAACACGAACAUUCAAAAAGCUGGGCACUGGUAAUGAACAUUGGCCGUUGGUCUCUGGGUUCUUUAGAAAACUCAUCCAGAGCUUCACUGAUGCAGUUAAACUGCCGUGUAAGGGCACACCUGGUCGGUCCUCAUGAAAGCACUGCUGGAAAAGAUAUGUAACUAACGCAUUCUUCUUCAUCAAAGAGCGUCAUUUCUUGUGGCAUCACUUCUGUUGUGUUUUCUUGCAGUGACCCAAAAACCUGGCUGCUUUGGAAAGUGGAUAGUAUUGGCAAUCAAAGAAAUAUGAGUGAUGUUUUGCACCUCAAGACUUCAUUCUGUAAGAUGUAUCGACGGGAUUGCCUACCUGUAACUCAGCUUUGUAAGCAGCCUCCCGAGGUUAGCCACGGUGGUAUUACAUGCCUUGUGCUUUGCCAGCCCUGCAAGCCAGCCAAAGUCUGUUAAAGCCUUCAGAGCACAAAGCACUGAUAAGAUGGAUCUCUAACAGGUAUGCAUCAGGGAUAAUGCAAAGAUGUUCCGUGUGCAACAACCUAAAAUUAGUUGCUGCUAGCUCAGAGCAGAAGUAACCGCCUCCUACGUGGUUAUUUCUGCUGAAAUGGAGGGGCUGAUGUGUGUAGGGAAGUGAUGAUGCUGAGUGUGUGCGUUAUAUACGUAUAUACAGUCUCUAAAUGUGUAUGUAUAUGUGUAUAUGCUAGCAUGUUCAAGUGUAGAAGUCAUUUUUUGUAAGUUCCAUGAGAUUCAGGCACAUGGCUUGCUUUGAACUGUUAUUAAAAUAUGGGCGUUUUGGUGAUAAAGCUAAAAAUGUAUACCUUAAGACCUACAUUCUUAAUGUAGGUCAGUGGAGGCACUUCUCAGACAUAUUAGCAUUUUGGACACUUCAUCUUAGCAGCAUAUUGCAUCUCCUGGAAUAGGUUAGCAGAGGCAAUGCGGGAGAAAUUGCUGCAUCUGAAGUCAUUCAGAGAUGUUGCCAAGUUUCUCAGGAACCAGAAUUGCAGGAUAAUGAGUAUUAUAUUUAAUUCGUGAUGGAAAGGCAACCGUGGGGAGUUCGGCAGAGGCAACGCAGAUCAUCUUGGCUCUGUGGGGGAGGGAGCAUUUAUAACUGCAGCUAGCUAAAAAGAGGAAAGCUGUCUGUAUAUUUGUG